Long non-coding RNA from Salvia splendens (bonfire salvia), 511 nucleotides. RefSeq lists it as uncharacterized. The transcript has 3 exons. The record is from RefSeq and is a predicted model, not a curated record. NCBI's taxonomy places the organism in Eukaryota, Viridiplantae, Streptophyta, Magnoliopsida, Lamiales, Lamiaceae.
GUCGAUCAGGCCACACAAUUUCAUGGUGCAUCCAUAAGGUCCUUCGAGCUAUCUUAAAAAUGCACACUUUGUUUCUCGUAAAUCCCGAGCCGAUAGCUGAUGAUUGUGCCGACUAGAGAUGGAAGCAUUUCAAGGGUUGUCUCGGUGCUCUUGAUGGCACUUUCAUCGAUGUUUUGGUUCGUAAUGCCGACAAACCACGGUAUAGGAACGGAAGGGUCAGAUUACAACUAAUUUCCUAGCAGCAUGUGAUCAACACAUGCGUUUCACCUACAUAUCUGUUGGUGACGCUCGUAUUUUGCGCGACGCUGUUAAUCGCCCAUAUGGUUUGAGAGUCCCUUUAGGUAAAUACUACCUCUGCGAUAAUGGGUAUGCAAACAACCAUGGUUUUCUCACUCCUUAAAGGGGUGUUAGAUAUCAUCUGAAGGAAUGGGGUUCGAACGUGGACACGCCGCAAAAUGCAAUUGAGUUGUUCAAUAUGCGUCAUAUUGAGGCCAAAAAUAUAAUUGGAAGA